UGUAGCUUGACAUUGGGUCUUGGUACUACAUGUACAGGAUAGGUGGGAGGCUUUGAAACCAGGACGCCAGUUUUGGCGGAGCCAUCCUUGGGAUACCACCCUUGUAGUACUGGGACUCUAACCAUAGGCCAUGAAUCUGGUCUUGGGACACUGUCAGGUGGGCAGUUUGACUGGGGCGGUCGCCUCCCAAAAGGUAACGGAGGCGCUCAAAGGUUCUCUCAGUACGGUCGGAAAUCGUACGUAGAGUGUAAAGGCAAAAGAGAGCUUGAUUGCAAGACAUACAGGUCGAGCAAGGAUGAAAAUCGGACUUAGUGAUCCGGUGGUGCUGCGUGGAAGGGCCAUCGCUCAACGGAUAAAAGCUACCCUGGGGAUAACAGGCUUAUCCCCCCCAAGAGUCCACAUCGACGGGGAGGUUUGGCACCUCGAUGUCGGCUCAUCACAUCCUGGGGCUGUAGUAGGUCCCAAGGGUUGGGCUGUUCGCCCAUUAAAGUGGUACGCGAGCUGGGUUCAGAACGUCGUGAGACAGUUCGGUCCCUAUCCGUCGCAGGCGUAGGAAAUUUGAGAAGACC
Molecule: ribosomal RNA, 569 nt
Filed under: Clostridioides difficile
Lineage: Bacteria; Bacillati; Bacillota; Clostridia; Peptostreptococcales; Peptostreptococcaceae
Description: bacterial LSU rRNA
Rfam family: Bacterial large subunit ribosomal RNA
Source: RNAcentral